Long non-coding RNA from Penaeus monodon (black tiger shrimp), 352 nucleotides. RefSeq lists it as uncharacterized. The record is from RefSeq and is a predicted model, not a curated record. Lineage: Eukaryota; Metazoa; Arthropoda; Malacostraca; Decapoda; Penaeidae. The transcript is spliced from 6 exons.
AUUGAGACCUACCUUUCUGAUGGGAGGCUAGAUGCGUUUAGGUGCAGCAGGUCCUGGCUUGUGGCUUGGAAGACCACCUUAGGUUGAAAACUGAUUUUCUCCUGUCAUCGACCUUCUUGACUCAUAUCUUCGGCAGCAUUUCGACCCUGAUCUUCCAGAAAAAGAGCCGAAAGAAUCGUUUCGGUUUCUCAAUGUGACGUGGAUGUGAACUGGCUGUGAGGAGGGUCUUUGGAAUCUUGCCAAAAUUCUUCUGCAAAGUGACUAGAAAAAUAUCAAAGUACGACUUGUUCGUAAAUGCAGGAGAUGCCUUCUUCAUGACAGGAAGAACCCUAAGUAAAUGGUGAGAAACAUU